UCCUUGGAGGGUUAGUGGUUAGGCUUUAGUGCUCUCACCACCACGGCCUGGGUUCGAUUCCCAGCCACUGGG
Non-coding RNA from Pangasius djambal, 72 nucleotides. The record is from the annotation of a GenBank genome assembly. Lineage: Eukaryota; Metazoa; Chordata; Actinopteri; Siluriformes; Pangasiidae.